This 103-nucleotide small nuclear RNA is filed under the name Sorex araneus (European shrew). The record is from RNAcentral. Lineage: Eukaryota; Metazoa; Chordata; Mammalia; Eulipotyphla; Soricidae.
GGGCUCACUUUUGCAGCAUAUACUGUAAAAUUGUAAUGAUAGAAGAUUAACAUGAUCCUUGGGCAAGGAUGAUGCACAGCACAAAUUCCUGAAACAAUCAUAU